Anolis sagrei ordinatus is the source of this 502-nucleotide non-coding RNA. The record is from RefSeq and is a predicted model, not a curated record. NCBI's taxonomy places the organism in Eukaryota, Metazoa, Chordata, Lepidosauria, Squamata, Anolidae.
AAGGCAAACAAAACAGCAAACAGCAAUCCGCAUGAAGAGCGGUCCAACGAAGGUUCCAGGGAUUAGCAGAGGCGUAGUCAGGCAGUCCGAGGGUCAAGGCAAGGAAGACUCACGAGUCUGGUUCCGGCAGGGUUGUUCACACGAUCAGGAAACACGAAGCUGCAAACAAGAGCUCACGGCAGGAGUUAAACACAAGGCACACGGUGAAUCCCGGCUGCGCCAUUGUUGCCAGUCAGUACUUCGGGCUCCAUCCUGCAAAGUAUUAUCUGCAACCCAAGUAUCAUCAAAACCCUGGAAUUCAUCACUAGAGGUGGGAGCAGUAAUCACAUCCAUUACUUCCUGAACUUUAGUCCAGUCCAGCUCUUCCUCUUCGCUGUCAAACUCCCCACAAUCAGCUAUAUCUCUAAGGCGUUUAGCAACAGAUCCCACAUCGCUAUUCGAGCUGCUGGCUACUCUCUUUACACCUCUGUAAUCUUCCAGCUCCAUUUCCUCGCGAGUAAAA